CCCUGCGCCCCUCAGGUGGCUCUGCUGGUUUUAACGCGUGUCUCUCUCUCCGAGUUGAAUCUACUCCAGGUGGUGCUGCGGGAAGACGGAAGCUUGGGUCCGGCCGCGAGAGUGGGAGGAGCAGAGGAACUCAGAGGUUUCAGAACUGUAAUUCCUGCUACCUGUAAAGCUGAAGCACCUCAGCAACUUAAUGACACCCUGUCUCAUCCAAUGAAUGAGUAAAAAAAUCAACAAGUACAAAA
Non-coding RNA from Rattus norvegicus (Norway rat), 242 nucleotides. Lineage: Eukaryota; Metazoa; Chordata; Mammalia; Rodentia; Muridae. The record is from RefSeq and is a predicted model, not a curated record.